RNAcentral lists this ribosomal RNA (253 nucleotides) under uncultured bacterium. RNAcentral's name for it is "partial 16S ribosomal RNA". It matches the Rfam family "Bacterial small subunit ribosomal RNA", at positions 524 to 776 of the family's 1533-position model. The record is from RNAcentral.
UACGUAGGCAGCGAGCGUUGUUCGGAAUUACUGGGCGUAAAGAGUGUGUAGGCGGUGCUCUAAGUUCGGUGUGAAAUCUCCUGGCUCAACUGGGAGGGUGCGCCGGAAACUGGAGUGCUUGAGCGUGGGAGAGGAAAGCGGAAUUCCUGGUGUAGCGGUGAAAUGCGUAGAUAUCAGGAGGAACACCUGUGGUGUAGACGGCUUUCUGGACCAUAGCUGACGCUGAGACACGAACGCGUGGGUAGCAAACAGG